GGGGAUGUCAUGGUUUCGACAGGUAUUGUCGAGCUGUUGAUGCGCCAGCAAGGCAGCGACUUGCUAAAAACGCUACAGUUAAAUAUAACUGCAAACAAAACAAACAACAAUUUCGCUUUAGCAGCCUAAGAACUGCGAGUGAAGAUCAGUCUGGCAUCACCCAUGUGCUCAGGUCCUGGUCUCAAAUUUAGUGGGUUACGAUUUAACUUUCCGUCUGCAAGUUAAGUAAGAGAUUACCAGACUCGCGAUAAUUGAUGCCAGUUUUUCGGCUAAAUUAGAGCUAAACUUUAAAUAGAAAAACUAUUGGCGUAGAGUUGAUAGUGGCGAGAUAUUUGGACAGGGGUUCGACUCCCCUCAUCUCCAUAC
This 366-nucleotide transfer-messenger RNA is filed under the name Fundicoccus ignavus. RNAcentral's name for it is "Standard tmRNA". It matches the Rfam family "transfer-messenger RNA". Rfam says of the family: Bacterial tmRNA, also known as 10Sa RNA or SsrA, is named for its dual tRNA and mRNA-like properties. Its role is to liberate the mRNA from a stalled ribosome. Lineage: Bacteria; Bacillati; Bacillota; Bacilli; Lactobacillales; Aerococcaceae. The record is from Rfam by way of RNAcentral.